GAGCCAUUAGCUCAGUUGGUAGAGCAACUGACUUUUAAUCAGAGGGUCAGAGGUUCGAAUCCUCUAUGGCUCACCA
This 76-nucleotide transfer RNA is filed under the name Staphylococcus aureus. RNAcentral describes it as "tRNA-Lys". It matches the Rfam family "tRNA". Rfam says of the family: Transfer RNA (tRNA) molecules are approximately 80 nucleotides in length. Their secondary structure includes four short double-helical elements and three loops (D, anti-codon, and T loops). Further hydrogen bonds mediate the characteristic L-shaped molecular structure. tRNAs have two regions of fundamental functional importance: the anti-codon, which is responsible for specific mRNA codon recognition, and the 3' end, to which the tRNAs corresponding amino acid is attached (by aminoacyl-tRNA synthetases). tRNAs cope with the degeneracy of the genetic code in two manners: having more than one tRNA (with a specific anti-codon) for a particular amino acid; and 'wobble' base-pairing, i.e. permitting non-standard base-pairing at the 3rd anti-codon position. Lineage: Bacteria; Bacillati; Bacillota; Bacilli; Caryophanales; Staphylococcaceae. The record is from RNAcentral. RNAcentral also lists the same sequence under 4 other names.